UCGGCUCGCCCCUCGAGCAACCAGUGACUGUAAAAGGCUUCUCCCCCGAGCUGAACGACCAUCUCCAGCGGGUCCGCCUACCCACGGUCGCCGGCCCUCCUUUGUUCUCUCCCGUCUCCCGCAUUCUAAGAGACCUCCCGGCCAAGGACGCUGAGGACGGUCCCACAGCGCGCAGCUGUCUUUUUCGUUUGAAUAAACAAAACAAAGCACCCUC
Long non-coding RNA from Fundulus heteroclitus (mummichog), 214 nucleotides. RefSeq lists it as uncharacterized. The record is from RefSeq and is a predicted model, not a curated record. Lineage: Eukaryota; Metazoa; Chordata; Actinopteri; Cyprinodontiformes; Fundulidae. The transcript has 2 exons.